AGGGUUCGAUUAUGGCUCAGGACGAACGCUGGCGGCGUGCUUAACACAUGCAAGUCGAACGAAGCUUGAUUACGGAUUCUUCGGAAGAAGUAUGAUAUGACUGAGUGGCGGACGGGUGAGUAACGCGUGAGUAACCUGCCUUCAAGAGGGGGAUAACAUUCUGAAAAGAAUGCUAAUACCGCAUGAUAUAUCGGAACCACAUGGUUUUGAUAUCAAAGAUUUUAUCGCUUGAAGAUGGACUCGCGUCCAAUUAGUUAGUUGGUGAGGUAACGGCUCACCAAGACCGCGAUCGGUAGCCGGACUGAGAGGUUGAACGGCCACAUUGGGACUGAGACACGGCCCAG
This 344-nucleotide ribosomal RNA is filed under the name uncultured bacterium. RNAcentral's name for it is "bacterial SSU rRNA". It matches the Rfam family "Bacterial small subunit ribosomal RNA", at positions 8 to 334 of the family's 1533-position model. The record is from RNAcentral.